This 154-nucleotide long non-coding RNA is filed under the name Apteryx rowi (Okarito brown kiwi). Its description in RNAcentral is "lncRNA (ENSARWG00000015434.1)". The record is from RNAcentral. Lineage: Eukaryota; Metazoa; Chordata; Aves; Apterygiformes; Apterygidae.
GGGGCGGAGCGGGGCGGGCGGGCCACCAUUAGAAGGCGGCCGCGGCGGAGAGAGGAGCUCCUGGAGCGAAGCUGUGGCGCGUCACCGGGCCGGACCGGCAGCGCGCUCUGCCGCGGUGAUGGCCACACCAGGGAUGAUCGCGGAGAGAAGCAAU